Molecule: small nucleolar RNA, 82 nt
Organism: Mustela putorius furo (domestic ferret)
Lineage: Eukaryota; Metazoa; Chordata; Mammalia; Carnivora; Mustelidae
Source: Ensembl
UGGUCAAUGAUGACACGACCACUGAGCAAUCAGAGUUCUAGAACCAGAUGAUGGAAUGUGUGCUAAGAAUGGACUGAGACCA